CUCUUAUUAGUACGAAAGGACCAUAAGAGUAAAAUAAUUUUAUUGUCUUUUGAUUACUAUUAAUUUAAGUUAAA
This 74-nucleotide ribosomal RNA is filed under the name Betiscoides sp. B31_bo_85. RNAcentral's name for it is "partial 16S ribosomal RNA". RNAcentral also lists the same sequence under 1 other name. Lineage: Eukaryota; Metazoa; Arthropoda; Insecta; Orthoptera; Lentulidae. The record is from RNAcentral.